GGAAGGGACUGUCUUUUUAUUCCUUCAGUUUAGGAGCUGAUCUACAUAUCUCAGUUUCUGAAAAUUAAUUUUGAACAUGGAAUUUCUAAGAAGUAUGUCUACAUGUACAUAAUGCAAAUGGAUUGCUUCCUCUGGAUUGGCUGUCAGAUUAGAUGUAAUCUAAGUUACCUGCUCAAGAGGAAUGCAGACUCAAUGUUCCUGGAGUAUGACAGCACGCCUCUCCCAGAGAGAAGAUAUGGAGAAAAACAACAACAACAACAACAGCAACAACAACUACAUCAUAAAUCUGAAAUAACACUAACUACUUGACCAGAAGGUAUUCUGGGAAAUUGAAGCCUUGGAUGAGUGAUUGCCUUUGUUUCCCCUUCCUCUAUCCUCUGCUGGGGGAAGAUGAGAUGGAAGGCACAUGUCUAGGAUCCUAAGCCCUUAUCUCCUUGGGUUCUGGGCUUUCUGAAUAAAACUUGGUUUAAAGA
Non-coding RNA from Rattus norvegicus (Norway rat), 473 nucleotides. The record is from RefSeq and is a predicted model, not a curated record. NCBI's taxonomy places the organism in Eukaryota, Metazoa, Chordata, Mammalia, Rodentia, Muridae.